Molecule: long non-coding RNA, 362 nt
Organism: Uranotaenia lowii
Lineage: Eukaryota; Metazoa; Arthropoda; Insecta; Diptera; Culicidae
Exons: 3
Source: RefSeq, a predicted model, not a curated record
UGAACUCAGCCUUCGUUCUUAUCGAGCCGAUUAAAAAGCACGGACGACGGGAGAAGACGGAUUCUUGGAUCAUACCGGUUACAUCACCAGUUAUUGAAAUAUUCCAGGUCCCUCGCGUGGCAGAAUUUUCAAUCAAUUUUCCUUAAUUACAUUUAUUAGAGCUUUGGGUAACUAGGUAAACACUUUUAUAACAACCCUGGAUAAGGAUAUCCAUAGAAGAAUUUCAAUACAAUGGACGAAGACCAUUGAAAGAUUUUGGAUUGCUGUGCGGCGCUCUUAGAAUCACUGGUAAAACUGCGUUCUUCAAAGGCAAAUGCAGCGAACACAUACUGAAGAUCACGCUGCUUCGAAAACAUAUAGAU